Molecule: non-coding RNA, 47 nt
Organism: Gavia stellata (red-throated loon)
Lineage: Eukaryota; Metazoa; Chordata; Aves; Gaviiformes; Gaviidae
Source: Rfam
CACAGGGUUUUACUCAAAACCACAAAACGUUCACAUAAAACAUACUU